GGGAAACUGAGAUGGAAUUCAUAUAGUGUAAGACAAUCAUAUUGAUUUUGUUCAAGGAACAAAAAUUCAUAAAUAGAAUGACAAGAACAGUGACUGAAACACUAAACAUAGAAUUAGAAAUGAUGAUAUAGUAAAUUUACUUUACAUAAGUCCAAGACUAAGAGAAAGAAAAAAUAGUGAUAUUGACAAGUGUGCCUUUCUCCUAUAAGUAUCUAACCACACCCCAAGAUAAAGGAUCUUUUUCUCUCCUCUCUAGCUCUCUCAUUCUCUCAAAUAGAUACUCACAAGUUCGUCGAAGUGGGCACGGUGAGAAAACCCCAAUACCCACCUAAAUGGCCUCUCU
Molecule: unclassified non-coding RNA, 343 nt
Filed under: Hevea brasiliensis (rubber tree)
Lineage: Eukaryota; Viridiplantae; Streptophyta; Magnoliopsida; Malpighiales; Euphorbiaceae
Source: RNAcentral